Molecule: small RNA, 75 nt
Filed under: Lacinutrix venerupis
Lineage: Bacteria; Pseudomonadati; Bacteroidota; Flavobacteriia; Flavobacteriales; Flavobacteriaceae
Description: Flavo-1 RNA
Source: RNAcentral
UAGGGAUUGAGGCAUUUGUUGAAGCUCUUUUUUGUUUUUCUCAAAAAAAAGCGACUGCCGAAAGCCCGACCUUUA